This 510-nucleotide long non-coding RNA is filed under the name Anas platyrhynchos platyrhynchos (common mallard). RNAcentral's name for it is "lncRNA (ENSAPLG00000029945.1)". The record is from RNAcentral. Lineage: Eukaryota; Metazoa; Chordata; Aves; Anseriformes; Anatidae.
CAGAAUCAAAUACACUUGUUCAGGUUGUGCUUGAAUUACUUUGGGAUAUAAUCACCUCAGUGCAUAACAUGUCCUUGUGUUUCUUUGUACUGGAAGUACAGCAGGUGUGACUGAGCAUUCCACAAUUCAGGAUGAAGCUGAUAACUCCUCACUGGUGAAUUCCUGCUGAAAAGAUGGAUAGGAACCACAGAUGCUCAUCUAAAUGUGUUAACACUUAAACACAUUAUCUGUAACACACCAGAGACAAUCACUUAUUUGGCAUGAUGUGUUUCAGUCAAAGAAGGAAGAAGAGAUCAUAAUUCACAACAGGACAGCUGGAAGGACUGCUGAGCCCACUUCCAUUCUCGUGGACACAGUGGCCUGGAAAAAGAACAGAGGAGCUGAGUUUCCUGACAUGACCAAUAUUUUUUUCUCACAAAAUCAAACACAAACAAGGAGAAAAUAGGUAGGGUAGUACCAAAUAAUAAUAAUAAUAAUAAAACAAAUGUCUCUAUGUUCCUUUUGUUUAUA